AGUUUGAUUAUGGCUCAGAUUGAACGCUGGCAGGAUGCUUUUACACAUGCAAGUCGAACGGCAGCACGAGACUUCAGUCUGGUGGCAGUGGCGAACGGGUGAGUAAUGUAUCCGGAACGUGCCUAGUAGCGGGGGAUAACUACGCGAAAGCGUAGCUAAUACCGCAUGUCGCCCUUCGAGGAAAGCGGGGGACGCUUCGGGCCUCGCACUAUUAAACGGCCGAUAUCGGAUUAGCUAGUUGGUGGGGUAACGGCUCACCAAGGCGACGAUCAGUGGCUGGUUUGAGGGGACGACCAGCCACACUGGGACUGAACGACGGGCUCCUACGAGAGGCAGCAGUGGGGAAUUUUGGACAAUGGAAACCCUGAUCCAGCCAUCCCGCGUGUGCGAUGAAGGCCUUCAGGUUGUAAGCACUUUUGGCAGGAAAGAAACGGCACGGGAUAAUACCCGUGCAACUGACAGCCUGCAGAAUAAGCGCCGGCUGCGCUACGUGCCAGCAGCCGCAGUAGCCGUAGUGCAAGCGUUAAUCGGAAUUACUGGGCGUAAAAGCGUGCUGAGCGGUUCGGAAAGAAAGAUGUGAAAUCCCAGAGCACUUUGGAACUGCAUUUUUUUAACUACCGAGCUAGAGUGUGUCAGAGGAGGUAGAAUUCCGCGUGUAGCAGUGAUGCGUAGAUAUGCGGAGGAACACCGGUGGCGAAGGCAGCCUCCUGGGAUAACACUGACGCUCAUGCACGAAAGCGUGGGGAGCAAACAGGAUUAGAUACGCAAAUCCGCCUAAACGAUGUCAACUAGCUAUUUAGGGCCUUCCGGGCCUUGGUAGCGCAGCUAACGCGUGAAGUUGACCGCCUGGGAGCGCGGUCGCAAGAUUAAAACUCAAAGGAAUUGACGGGGACCCGCACAAGCGGUGGAUGAUGUGGAUUAUUCGGUAUACCGAAAAACCAUACACUGCCGCCGGUAUAUGCGGAAUCCGAAGAGAUUCAGGUGCUCCGCAAGAGAACCGGAACACAGGUGCUGCAUGGCUGUCGUCAGCUCGUGUCGUGAGAUGUUGGGUUAAGUCCCGCAACAGGCGCAACCCUUGUCAUUAGUUGCUACGAAAGGGCACUCUAAUGAGACUGUGGUGACAAACCGGAGGAAGGUGGGGAUGACGUCAAGUCCUCCGCUAAUUUAUAUGGGUAGAGGCUUCACACGUCAUACAAUGGUCGGGACAGAGGUCGCCAACCCGCGAGGGAGCCAAUCCCGAAACCCGAUCGUAGUCCGGAUCGCAGUCUGCAACUCGACUGCGUGAAGUCGGAAUCGCUGGUAAUCGCGGAUCGGCAUGUCACCCAGUGAAUACGUUCAGGUCUUGUACCACCGCCCGUCACACCGUGGGAGUGGGGUUUACCAGAAAUGGAUUAGCCUAACCGUAAGGAGGCGAUUACCACAGUAGGAUUCAUGACUGGGGUGAAGUCAUGGUAGCCGCAUUUACCUGGUGCUC
RNAcentral lists this ribosomal RNA (1474 nucleotides) under uncultured Bordetella sp. Its description in RNAcentral is "partial 16S-23S ribosomal RNA intergenic spacer". It matches the Rfam family "Bacterial small subunit ribosomal RNA". Lineage: Bacteria; Pseudomonadati; Pseudomonadota; Betaproteobacteria; Burkholderiales; Alcaligenaceae. The record is from RNAcentral.